GGCUCUUGGUCUAGAGGUAUGAUUCUCGCUUUGGGUGCGGGAGGUCCCGGGUUCAAAUCCCGGAAGAGCCC
RNAcentral lists this transfer RNA (71 nucleotides) under Blattella germanica (German cockroach). Its description in RNAcentral is "tRNA-Pro (TGG) (tRNA-Pro-TGG-23-1)". It matches the Rfam family "tRNA". From Rfam's summary of the family: Transfer RNA (tRNA) molecules are approximately 80 nucleotides in length. The record is from RNAcentral. Lineage: Eukaryota; Metazoa; Arthropoda; Insecta; Blattodea; Blattellidae.